UGGGGAAUAUUGCACAAUGGGCGAAAGCCUGAUGCAGCAACGCCGCGUGAGUGAUGAAGGUCUUCGGAUUGUAAAGCUCUGUCUUUUGGGACGAUAAUGACGGUACCAAAGGAGGAAGCCACGGCUAACUACGUGCCAGCAGCCGCGGUAAUACGUAGGUGGCGAGCGUUGUCCGGAUUUACUGGGCGUAAAGGGUGCGUAGGCGGAUGUUUAAGUGAGAUAUGAAAUACCCGGGCUUAACUUGGGUGCUGCAUUUCAAACUGGAUAUCUAGAGUGCAGGAGAGGAGAAUGGAAUUCCUAGUGUAGCGGUGAAAUGCGUAGAGAUUAGGAAGAACACCAGUGGCGAAGGCGAUUCUCUGGACUGUAACUGACGCUGAGGCACGAAAGCGUGGGUAGCAAACAGGAUUAGAUACCCUGGUAGUCCACGCCG
This 430-nucleotide ribosomal RNA is filed under the name uncultured bacterium. RNAcentral's name for it is "partial 16S ribosomal RNA". It matches the Rfam family "Bacterial small subunit ribosomal RNA", at positions 355 to 802 of the family's 1533-position model. The record is from RNAcentral.